RNAcentral lists this ribosomal RNA (253 nucleotides) under uncultured bacterium. RNAcentral describes it as "partial 16S ribosomal RNA". It matches the Rfam family "Bacterial small subunit ribosomal RNA", at positions 524 to 776 of the family's 1533-position model. The record is from RNAcentral.
UACGUAGGGUGCAAGCGUUGUCCGGAAUUAUUGGGCGUAAAGAGCUCGUAGGCGGUCUGUCGCGUCUGCUGUGAAAAUCAGGGCUCAACCCUGGACCUGCAGUGGGUACGGGCAGACUAGAGUGCGGUAGGGGAGAUCGGAAUUCCUGGUGUAGCGGUGAAAUGCGCAGAUAUCAGGAGGAACACCGGUGGCGAAGGCGGAUCUCUGGGCCGUAACUGACGCUGACGGAGCGAAAGCAUGGGGAGCGAACAGG